CAGUAGCCGCGGUAAUACAGAGGGUGCGAGCGUUAAUCGGAUUUACUGGGCGUAAAGCGUGCGUAGGCGGCUUCUUAAGUCGGAUGUGAAAUCCCUGAGCUUAACUUAGGAAUUGCAUUCGAUACUGGGAAGCUAGAGUAUGGGAGAGGAUGGUAGAAUUCCAGGUGUAGCGGUGAAAUGCGUAGAGAUCUGGAGGAAUACCGAUGGCGAAGGCAACCAUCUGGCCUAAUACUGACGCUGAGGUACGAAAGCAUGGGGAGCAAACAGGAUUAGAUACCCCGGUAGUCCCUGUCUCUUAUAC
Molecule: ribosomal RNA, 301 nt
Filed under: uncultured bacterium
Lineage: Bacteria
Description: partial 16S ribosomal RNA
Rfam family: Bacterial small subunit ribosomal RNA
Source: RNAcentral